CUGGAGAACUGAGGGGGGCUGCUCCUAGUACGAGAGGACCGGAGUGGACGCAUCACUGGUGUUCGGGUUGUCAUGCCAAUGGCACUGCCCGGUAGCUAAAUGCGGAAGAGAUAAGUGCUGAAAGCAUCUAAGCACGAAACUUGCCCCGAGAUGAGUUCUCCCUGACUCCUUGAGAGUCCUGAAGGAACGUUGAAGACGACGACGUUGAUAGGCCGGGUGUGUAAGCGCAGCGAUGCGUUGAGCUAACCGGUACUAAUGAACCGUGAGGCUUAACCUUACAACGCCGAAG
This 289-nucleotide ribosomal RNA is filed under the name Escherichia coli. Its description in RNAcentral is "partial 23S ribosomal RNA". It matches the Rfam family "Bacterial large subunit ribosomal RNA", at positions 2652 to 2925 of the family's 2925-position model. The record is from RNAcentral. Lineage: Bacteria; Pseudomonadati; Pseudomonadota; Gammaproteobacteria; Enterobacterales; Enterobacteriaceae.